Molecule: long non-coding RNA, 1813 nt
Organism: Pongo pygmaeus (Bornean orangutan)
Lineage: Eukaryota; Metazoa; Chordata; Mammalia; Primates; Hominidae
Exons: 3
Source: RefSeq, a predicted model, not a curated record
UAUCCUUACCAAUAUGUGAUCUGAAGGAGCUCUGAACCCCCCAUUGAGACAUCGGCCCAUCAGACUCACAGAGAACAUCAGGAAGACCAAAGACUCAAGAUUUAUCUAUCCUUGAAUUAUUCAGUGAUGCUGAUUACAAUAGACCUCCCUAAUCCGAAGGGAAAACAUCCCAAGACCCCCAAUGAAUGCCUGAAACUGGAUGCUACUGAACCCUGAGACGGUACUAAGUGACCAAUGGACGAAUAGCGUGUACAGCAUGGAUACACUAGACAAAGGGAGGAUUCGCAUCCCGAGCUGGUCAGCAAGAGGUUUCAUCACCCCACUCAAAAUGGCAAGACCGUAUGAACCUGAAUCCAGAGAAAUGGCUCAUCAGUCUCCAAACCUGAUUUUCUAAACCAUGAGUACAUUAUAUUGAAACCAGAAAAAGCAAUACCUCUUUUCACAGAAUGGACUUUCUGGUAGAAAUGGGAGGAACCAAAAGAAGGCUGACUUCUUCAUUUUGACACCCUGCCCUGACUGCAGAAUGUGAUUUCCCUAAAAGACUGAAUCUUAACCUCAAAGCCUGAUCAACCAACAUGCAGGAGAAAUCUUGACCAAGGCUCUGAGCAUGCUGUGGUUCCAAUGGUGAAGGUGUGAUAUGCACUGUUUGUUCCUGGAGUCACAGUGCUCGUCUUGUGGUAAAGACCUCUUGGAAGAAUGUCUUUAAAGGCACAUUUCCAGCUGGGAGUCCUUGUUUCCUGAUUUUUUUUUUAAGUUUAUAUUAUAUGAACAAAUGAGACUGCUUUCCCGGCAGGAGUAGCCCUCGGACGCCCACUGUGAGCCUACUUUCUGGAAGAAGCCAACUCAGACAGACCAUAGUGUGUGCACAGCAUACGUGGCUGCUGGCUGUGGAUGAAAAAGUAAUCCUGAUCUGUCAGAAUAAUGAUUUCAGCGUGUUCUCAGCAGGUCCUCAGUUUGAUCCCAUGAGGAUACCCUCAACCCCUUGCAUGACAUGUUGUACUUGGAGUCCUUCCCCGUUUCAAUUUCAGCAUCAGUGGGAGGGAAAUAGCAAAACAGCAUUCCUUCAUGCAGAUAACCAGUAGGCAGCCAGCUACUCGUGGUUCGUAACAUAACUCCACCAGUGUAUUCUGGCAGCGGGGUUUACUUAAGGGAGAGCACAGACAUUCCCUGCUCAAAAACAAAACUGCUAAACGUGACUCCGGUAGCCUCCGUGCUGUCUGCAAGAAUAAAAUCCUUGAAGAAAAAUUGUGAUAAGAAGUCUGUCUUUGGAGUCAGCCUGAGCACAAUCUUGCAUCUCCAGUUACCACCUGGGUGGCUUUAUUCAUUUAUUUAUUCAUUUAAGAAAUACCUGUAGGAUACAUACUACAUUGCAGGCAUGCUUCUCAGAUGUUAGUUCAUCUUGCUAAGCCUCUAGUAUCUUCAUCUAAACAGUGAGGAUAACAAUAUGUACCUCCUAGGGCCAUGUGAGGAAAAAGUGAGAUAGUGUGUAUAAAGCUCAUAGCACAGGGCUUGUAGAGAGGACGUGCACAGUUAGUGUUGGCUGUGGCAGGUAUUAUUCCCUUUACCACAGCCUAUGCCAUCCUUGCCAUCCCAUCAGGAGCUCCUGAUGAUGCCAGCACCUUUCCCAGCCCUCAUCUGGGGCAGAGUUCACCUUUAACUUUUUAUUCCUCUUGGCUUUACUUGAUAUUCAUUGACCUGGAGCUACCCACACCAGGGGGCAGCAUAAAUAAUGGCAGAAGUCACAUCCUCUGCCCUGGCUUCACACCUCCUCUUGGUAUCAGCUGUUCACCAUGCUUUUCCUACUGACUCUCUC